RNAcentral lists this ribosomal RNA (468 nucleotides) under uncultured bacterium. RNAcentral's name for it is "partial 16S ribosomal RNA". It matches the Rfam family "Bacterial small subunit ribosomal RNA", at positions 28 to 507 of the family's 1533-position model. The record is from RNAcentral.
GACGAACGCUGGCGGCGUGCUUAACACAUGCAAGUCGAACGGAAAGGCCCUGCUUUUGUGGGGUGCUCGAGUGGCGAACGGGUGAGUAACACGUGAGUAACCUGCCCUUGACUUUGGGAUAACUUCAGGAGACUGGGGCUAAUACCGGAUAGGAGCUCCUGCUGCAUGGUGGGGGUUGGAAAGUUUCGGCGGUUGGGGAUGGACUCGCGGCUUAUCAGCUUGUUUGUGGGGUAGUGGCUUACCAAGGCUUUGACGGGUAGCCGGCCUGAGAGGGUGACCGGCCACAUUGGGACUGAGAUACGGCCCAGACUCCUACGGGAGGCAGCAGUGGGGAAUAUUGCACAAUGGGCGGAAGCCUGAUGCAGCAACGCCGCGUGCGGGAUGACGGCCUUCGGGUUGUAAACCGCUUUCGCCUGUGACGAAGCGUGAGUGACGGUAAUGGGUAAAGAAGCACCGGCUAACUACGUG